Molecule: long non-coding RNA, 180 nt
Organism: Ipomoea nil (Japanese morning glory)
Lineage: Eukaryota; Viridiplantae; Streptophyta; Magnoliopsida; Solanales; Convolvulaceae
Exons: 3
Source: RefSeq, a predicted model, not a curated record
AGAAUCACUUUAUUUUACUGUAAACACUCUCUGCAAUGUACUGCUGAGUUCGAAUUUUCCAAUUCAAGGAUUAUUGAAGUUUGAUUCUACAAGACCAGUGAGAUUUAUUUAGCUUAAUUUUAUUCUCUGCACUUUAUUAUUUAUAUAUCUCCUGUUAUCUGAAUAUAUAUGAAUUAUGGC